CUACAGACCAUAUAUAACAUGACCUCCUCCUAACCAGGGGUACACUACAGACCAUAUAUAACAUGGCCCCCCCUCACCAGAGGUACACUAUAGACCAUAUAUAACAUGGCCUCCCCCUCACCAGGGGUACACUACAGACCAUAUAUAACAUGCCCCCCCCCCUCACCAGGGGUACCCUACAGACCAUAUAUAACAUGGUCCCCUCCUCACCAGGGGUACACUACAGACCAUAUAUAACAUGCCCCCCCCCCCUCACCAGGGGUACACUACAGACCAUAUAUAACAUGGCCUCCCCCUCACCAGGGGUACACUACAGACCAUAUAUAACAUGGCCUCCCCCUCACCAGGGGUACACUACAGACCAUAUAUAACAUGGCCUCCCCCUCACCAGGGGUACACUACAGACCAUAUAUAACAUGGCCUCCCCCUCACCAGGUGUACACUACAGACCAUAUAUAACAUGGCCUCCCCCUCACCAGGUGUACACUACAGAUCCUGUUUGACUCCUGUAUAACAAACCAUUAAACCAUACAACUACAGCAUGUUCUGUACCCAGAGUUAUCUCUCUUGCUUUAUUCAACCAAUUCAAACAUCAUCUUAUAGUCUAUGAACUCGUAUUUCAUGAUCAAAAUAUGUGUUAUUGACUAGCAUUAUGGAUUUUGUUAUCAAUAUUUUGUCAUUAACGGAUUAUUUUGAAACAACCCAUAAUUUGUUUAGUCAAAGACUAUAGAAAUUAUUUAAUUUUGUAUCAACAAAAUCGUACAUUUUGUAAUUGCAAAUUUGCCAUAAAUAAAAUAACUACGAAAAAUGAUGCUGAGAUGUAGACAAUUAAUAUAUUCACUCUGACCUUAGCUAACGAUAGCGAUAAUGAAAAUAUUCACUCUGAUCUUGGUUACAGCGGAUGAUAAUAUAUUCAUUGACCUACGUCACAGUUACGAUUAUUAAUAUAUUCACUCUGACCUUAGCUAAACGUGACGAUUAUUAAUAUAUUCACUCUGACCGUAGCUAACAGUGAUGAUUAUUAAAAAAAUAUAUUCACUCGGACCUUAGAUAACAGUGAUGAUUAUUAAUAUACUCACUCUGACCUUAGCUAACAGUGACGAUUAUUAAUAUAUCCACUCUGACCUUAGCUAACAGUGACGAUUAUUAAUAUAUUCACUAUGACCGUAGCUAACAGUGACGAUUAUUAAUAUAUUCACCCUGACCUUAGCAAACAGUGAUGAUUAUUAAUAUAUUCACUCCGACCUUAGCUUACAGUGACGAUUUAUAAUAUAUUUACGCUGACCUGUGACCUCUGCAGUGUGCAUGUGUCGGCUUACUAUACCAUGUAUAUUACGUACUGUAUUUUUCCAUGUAUUACUGGAUGUGUGUGAUAGUCACAUAAAAUUUGCAUAUCAAGAGUUACUGAUCAUGACGCUUACAAAUAUGAAGUUUUAAUAACAGGUUCAAAUAAAUUUAUGUACAAGA
Magallana angulata is the source of this 1467-nucleotide long non-coding RNA. RefSeq lists it as uncharacterized. The transcript is spliced from 2 exons. The record is from RefSeq and is a predicted model, not a curated record. Lineage: Eukaryota; Metazoa; Mollusca; Bivalvia; Ostreida; Ostreidae.